UAGGGAAUCUUCCACAAUGGACGCAAGUCUGAUGGAGCAACGCCGCGUGAAUGAAGAAGGUCUUCGGAUCGUAAAGCUCUGUUGUUGGUGAAGAAGGAUAGAGGCAGUAACUGGUCUUUAUUUGACGGUAAUCAACCAGAAAGUCACGGCUAACUACGUGCCAGCAGCCGCGGUAAUACGUAGGUGGCAAGCGUUGUCCGGAUUUAUUGGGCGUAAAGCGAGCGCAGGCGGAAUGAUAAGUCUGAUGUGAAAGCCCACGGCUCAACCGUGGAACUGCAUCGGAAACUGUCAUUCUUGAGUGCAGAAGAGGAGAGUGGAACUCCAUGUGUAGCGGUGGAAUGCGUAGAUAUAUGGAAGAACACCAGUGGCGAAGGCGGCUCUCUGGUCUGCAACUGACGCUGAGGCUCGAAAGCAUGGGUAGCGAACAGGAUUAGAUACCCUGGUAGUCCAUGCCGUAAACGAUGAGCGCUAGGUGUUGGGGACUUUCCGGUCCUCAGUGCCGCAGCAAACGCAUUAAGCGCUCCGCCUGGGGAGUACGACCGCAAGGUUGAAAC
This 554-nucleotide ribosomal RNA is filed under the name uncultured bacterium. RNAcentral's name for it is "partial 16S ribosomal RNA". It matches the Rfam family "Bacterial small subunit ribosomal RNA", at positions 355 to 900 of the family's 1533-position model. The record is from RNAcentral.